ACGAACGCUGGCGGCGUGCUUAACACAUGCAAGUCGAACGGAAAGGCCCUGCUUGCAGGGUACUCGAGUGGCGAACGGGUGAGUAACACGUGGGUGAUCUGCCCUGCACUUCGGGAUAAGCCUGGGAAACUGGGUCUAAUACCGGAUAUGACCUUCCAUGUAGUGUGGGGGGGGGAAAGAUUUAUCGGUGUGGGAUGAGCCCGCGGCCUAUCAGCUUGUUGGUGGGGUAAUGGCCUACCAAGGCGUCGACGGGUAGCCGGCCUGAGAGGGUGGACGGCCACAUUGGGACUGAGAUACGGCCCAGACUCCUACGGGAGGCAGCAGUGGGGAAUAUUGCACAAUGGGCGGAAGCCUUAUGCAGCGACGCCGCGUGGGGGAUGACGGCCUUCGGGUUGUAAACCUCUUUCGACAGGGACGAAGCUUCGGUGACGGUACCUGUAUAAGAAGCACCGGCUAACUACGUG
Molecule: ribosomal RNA, 464 nt
Filed under: uncultured bacterium
Lineage: Bacteria
Description: partial 16S ribosomal RNA
Rfam family: Bacterial small subunit ribosomal RNA
Source: RNAcentral